RNAcentral lists this ribosomal RNA (253 nucleotides) under uncultured bacterium. RNAcentral's name for it is "partial 16S ribosomal RNA". It matches the Rfam family "Bacterial small subunit ribosomal RNA", at positions 524 to 776 of the family's 1533-position model. The record is from RNAcentral.
UACGUAGGGGGCAAGCGUUGUCCGGAAUUAUUGGGCGUAAAGAGCUCGUAGGCGGUUUGUCACGUCUGCUGUGAAAUCCCGAGGCUCAACCUCGGGCCUGCAGUGGGUACGGGCAGACUGGAGUGCGGUAGGGGAGAAUGGAAUUCCUGGUGUAGCGGUGGAAUGCGCAGAUAUCAGGAGGAACACCGAUGGCGAAGGCAAGGUGCUGGACCCUCUCUGACGCUGAGGCGCGAAAGCCAGGGGAGCGAACGGG